CUGAAACAUCUCAUAUUAGCAAUACGUUUUAGGCUCAGUCAAAAAUGGAAAAAAAGUGAUUACAACUUUCAAAGCUCAUUUUAUUCUUAAAAAUAGAGAAAACAAUCAAAACAUCUCGAAUAUAAAGGCUUUUUGUGUGUGAUGUUUUUAACACCUUAGAGGUUGGUGAAAAGAAAUGUGAAGACUGAUAGGAAGAAAGUUUGAGAGGGAACACACGAAUGGGAGCACCAGGAGGAAGGGAAGGAGGGAUAAAAGAAGGGCAGGUGCUGAUGGCCCUCAGUCAGCAGCUCAUCAAGGUCACGAGAGUCUCAGAGUUAGUGAACUGGCUUUCCUUGGAUGAAAAUACACUGGAAGUAAUGCUCCAGGAGCUGCCAAACAUUCUCCAGCUACGGAUGGGCGUCAAGUUCAUGGGAGAAGAUGAGAAGAUGAGAGCUAGUCCAAGGUCUGCUCCUAUUUUCCACAGAACUUCCUGUUGUUCUACAAUGUCAUGCUGCCACAGUCUCCACAGAUGUGGUCUACAUCCACAUGAUGUUGUCAUGAUGGAGAACUACUGUAUUGCUCGGUAAGACAUGAACUCACCGGAAACUAGUUCUAGGUCGGCAGCCUGAAACUUGAAAUCAUAGAGGAGGGCAGGUGGGUAUAGUGAGUGGCAGAG
This 655-nucleotide long non-coding RNA is filed under the name Struthio camelus australis. Its description in RNAcentral is "lncRNA (ENSSCUG00000013526.1)". Lineage: Eukaryota; Metazoa; Chordata; Aves; Struthioniformes; Struthionidae. The record is from RNAcentral.